This 495-nucleotide ribosomal RNA is filed under the name uncultured bacterium. RNAcentral's name for it is "partial 16S ribosomal RNA". It matches the Rfam family "Bacterial small subunit ribosomal RNA", at positions 28 to 507 of the family's 1533-position model. The record is from RNAcentral.
GACGAACGCUGGCGGCGUGCCUAAUACAUGCAAGUAGAACGCUGAAGGAGGAGCUUGCUUCUCUGGAUGAGUUGCGAACGGGUGAGUAACGCGUAGGUAACCUGCCUGGUAGCGGGGGAUAACUAUUGGAAACGAUAGCUAAUACCGCAUAAGAGUAGAUGUCGCAUGACAUUUGCUUAAAAGGUGCAAUUGCAUCACUACCAGAUGGACCUGCGUUGUAUUAGCUAGUUGGUGAGGUAACGGCUCACCAAGGCAACGAUACAUAGCCGACCUGAGAGGGGGAUCGGCCACACUGGGACUGAGACACGGCCCAGACUCCUACGGGAGGCAGCAGUAGGGAAUCUUCGGCAAGAGACGGAAGUCUGACCGAGCAACGCCGCGUGAGUGAAGAAGGUUUUCGGAUCGUAAAGCUCUGUUGUAAGAGAAGAACGAGUGUGAGAGUGGAAAGUUCACACUGUGACGGUAUCUUACCAGAAAGGGACGGCUAACUACGUG